GACGUAGGAGGCGAGCGUUAUCCGGAUUCACUGGGCGUAAAGCGCACGUAGGCGGAUUGCUAAGUCAGGGGUGAAAUCCUGGAGCUCAACUCCAGAACUGCCUUUGAUACUGGCGAUCUUGAGUCCGGGAGAGGUGAGUGGAACUCCGAGUGUAGAGGUGAAAUUCGUAGAUAUUCGGAAGAACACCAGUGGCGAAGGCGGCUCACUGGCCCGGUACUGACGCUGAGGUGCGAAAGCGUGGGGAGCAAACAGG
RNAcentral lists this ribosomal RNA (253 nucleotides) under uncultured bacterium. RNAcentral describes it as "partial 16S ribosomal RNA". It matches the Rfam family "Bacterial small subunit ribosomal RNA", at positions 524 to 776 of the family's 1533-position model. The record is from RNAcentral.